UUUUUUAACGGCCGCGGUAUUCUGACCGUGCAAAGGUAGCGUAAUCAUUAGCUCUUUAAUUGGGGGCUGGUAUGAAUGGUUUUUUGAGGGCUUUACUGUCUCUAAAACUUUAACUAAAAAUUAACUUUUAGGUUAAAAGGCCUAAAUAAAAAUAAAAGACGAGAAGACCCUGUUGAGCUUUAUCCCCAAAACAGAAUUUAUUUUUAAUAAAAAAUCACCCUCUGUUUUGGGGAUUUGGUUGGGGCAACCAGGGAAUAAUAAGCUUCCCUUAUUAAAAACACAAUUUAUCUUUUUUUAAAAAAAGAUAAAGCUACCACAGGGAUAACAGCGUAAUCUCUUUUGAGAGUUCUUAUCAAAAAAGGGGGUUGCGACCUCGAUGUUGGAUUAGGGUAUCCAAAAGAUGCAGCAGUUUUUUAUGGUUGGUCUGUUCGACCAUUAAAACCCU
RNAcentral lists this ribosomal RNA (445 nucleotides) under Loxosomatidae sp. Unknown2009PCR1B8. RNAcentral's name for it is "partial 16S ribosomal RNA". It matches the Rfam family "Bacterial large subunit ribosomal RNA", at positions 1920 to 2597 of the family's 2925-position model. Lineage: Eukaryota; Metazoa; Entoprocta; Loxosomatidae. The record is from RNAcentral.